Triticum urartu is the source of this 118-nucleotide non-coding RNA. The record is from Rfam. NCBI's taxonomy places the organism in Eukaryota, Viridiplantae, Streptophyta, Magnoliopsida, Poales, Poaceae.
UAGAUACGUCCGUCCUAAAAUUCUUGUCUUAGAUUUGUCUAGAUACGGAAGUAUCUACUUGAUACAUCCGUAUUUAGACAAAUGUAAGAUAAGAAUUUUAGGACGGAGGGAGUAGCUU